RNAcentral lists this ribosomal RNA (427 nucleotides) under uncultured bacterium. RNAcentral describes it as "bacterial SSU rRNA". It matches the Rfam family "Bacterial small subunit ribosomal RNA", at positions 355 to 774 of the family's 1533-position model. The record is from RNAcentral.
UGGGGAAUUUUGGACAAUGGGCGAAAGCCUGAUCCAGCAAUGCCGCGUGCAGGAUGAAGGCCUUCGGGUUGUAAACUGCUUUUGUACGGAACGAAAAAGCUUCUCCUAAUACGAGAGGCCCAUGACGGUACCGUAAGAAUAAGCACCGGCUAACUACGUGCCAGCAGCCGCGGUAAUACGUAGGGUGCGAGCGUUAAUCGGAAUUACUGGGCGUAAAGCGUGCGCAGGCGGUUAUGUAAGACAGAUGUGAAAUCCCCGGGCUCAACCUGGGAACUUCAUUUGUGACUGCAUGGCUAGAGUACGGUAGAGGGCGAUGGAAUUCCGCGUGUAGCAGUGAAAUGCGUAGAUAUGCGGAGGAACACCGAUGGCGAAGGCAAUCCCCUGGACCUGUACUGACGCUCAUGCACGAAAGCGUGGGGAGCAAACA